RNAcentral lists this non-coding RNA (774 nucleotides) under Apatura laverna. The record is from RNAcentral. Lineage: Eukaryota; Metazoa; Arthropoda; Insecta; Lepidoptera; Nymphalidae.
UAGAUAAAUUUUUUAUGUUUUAAUAAUUUUAUUAUAAAUUUAUUUUACAUAUAAAUUUUAGUGAGGAAUUUUAAUUAUUUUAAUAAUAAUUAAUUAUUAAAGUAGUAAUUAAUAUUAAAAAUUUAAGAAAUUAAGAUUUAGUAAUAUUAAAAUUAAUAACUAAUUUUGUGCCAGCAGUUGCGGUUAUACAAAAAUUAAAUUAAAUUAUUUCAGUUUAAAUAAAUAAUUUUAAUUAAAGUAAAUAUUAAAUUAUUAAGUGAAAUUUUAAUUUAAUUAAAUUUUAUUUUUAAAUUAUGAUUUAAUAAAUUUUAAUAUAAACUAGGAUUAGAUACCCUAUUAUUAAAAAAUUAAUUUAUAUUACUAAAAUAGUAAAUAAUUAUUUAUUGAAACUUGAAUAAUAUGGCGGUAUUUUAGUUCAUUUAGAGGAAUCUGUUUAAUAAUUGAUAAUCCACGAAUAAAUUUACUUAAUUUAAUAUUUUGUAUAUCAUUGUUAAAAAAAUAUUUUUAAAUAAAAAUAAUAUUUAAAUUUUUAAAUAAAAAAUUAAUUCAGAUCAUGAUGCAGAUUAUAAUUAAGAAUAUAAUGGAUUACAAUAAAUAUAUUUAAAUGAAUAAUAUUAUUGAAAAUUAUAUUUGAAAGUGGAUUUAAAUGUAAUUUUAAUUAGUUUAUUAAAAUGAUUAAAAAUUAAAAUAUGUACAUAUUGCCCGUCACUUUCAUUUAAAAGUUGAAAUAAGUCGUAACAAAGUAGAUGUACUGGAAAGUGUAUCUAGAAAGAA